GUCUUCUGAGAACCUAAAAUAGGCUCCUAAAGAGAAAUAAUUAUAAAUGUAGCAGUGGUGAGGACUUGAAGAUAAUAAAGACUAGAGAAGAAGGAAAGAGUUCAAGCCCUGACAGCAGAUGUGACUCAACCAACAGUCUGCAAAAGCAAAAGGCGCUUUGUUGAAAAAUAAGUUAUAGAGGCAGAUGCUCGAAGUCUACAUCUAUUGACUGAAAGAGGUCUAUGACAGAUUUGAUCAUAAACUUUCAUUUGAGAAAGCAAUGAAGAAAAGAAAAGAACCAUUGGUACUCUGAGAAGCCACAGCUUCUGGCAGAUGUUGCAAGGAUGAGCUGGAUCAUUGGCAUUUUUUCCUGGGCCCUUGGGUCAACUUUGAGUGGAGUUUCCAAUUGCACAAUGAGCAUCUGGACAGUUUUGACAUCUUUAUUACACUCUCUGAGUUCUUAAAAU
RNAcentral lists this long non-coding RNA (446 nucleotides) under Equus asinus (donkey). RNAcentral describes it as "lncRNA (ENSEASG00005033275.1)". The record is from RNAcentral. Lineage: Eukaryota; Metazoa; Chordata; Mammalia; Perissodactyla; Equidae.